AUUGAACGCUGGCGGCAUGCCUUACACAUGCAAGUCGAACGGCAGCACGGAGCUUGCUCUGGUGGCGAGUGGCGAACGGGUGAGUAAUAUAUCGGAACGUACCCUGGAGUGGGGGAUAACGUAGCGAAAGUUACGCUAAUACCGCAUACGAUCUACGGAUGAAAGUGGGGGAUCGCAAGACCUCAUGCUCGUGGAGCGGCCGAUAUCUGAUUAGCUAGUUGGUAGGGUAAAAGCCUACCAAGGCAUCGAUCAGUAGCUGGUCUGAGAGGACGACCAGCCACACUGGAACUGAGACACGGUCCAGACUCCUACGGGAGGCAGCAGUGGGGAAUUUUGGACAAUGGGCGAAAGCCUGAUCCAGCAAUGCCGCGUGAGUGAAGAAGGCCUUCGGGUUGUAAAGCUCUUUUGUCAGGGAAGAAACGGUGAGGGCUAAUAUCCCUUGCUAAUGACGGUACCUGAAGAAUAAGCACCGGCUAACUACGUGCCAGCAGCCGCGGUAAUACGUAGGGUGCAAGCGUUAAUCGGAAUUACUGGGCGUAAAGCGUGCGCAGGCGGUUUUGUAAGUCUGAUGUGAAAUCCCCGGGCUCAACCUGGGAAUUGCAUUGGAGACUGCAAGGCUAGAAUCUGGCAGAGGGGGGUAGAAUUCCACGUGUAGCAGUGAAAUGCGUAGAUAUGUGGAGGAACACCGAUGGCGAAGGCAGCCCCCUGGGUCAAGAUUGACGCUCAUGCACGAAAGCGUGGGGAGCAAACAGG
This 753-nucleotide ribosomal RNA is filed under the name Janthinobacterium lividum. RNAcentral's name for it is "bacterial SSU rRNA". It matches the Rfam family "Bacterial small subunit ribosomal RNA", at positions 28 to 776 of the family's 1533-position model. The record is from RNAcentral. Lineage: Bacteria; Pseudomonadati; Pseudomonadota; Betaproteobacteria; Burkholderiales; Oxalobacteraceae.